RNAcentral lists this ribosomal RNA (465 nucleotides) under uncultured bacterium. RNAcentral's name for it is "partial 16S ribosomal RNA". It matches the Rfam family "Bacterial small subunit ribosomal RNA", at positions 338 to 795 of the family's 1533-position model. The record is from RNAcentral.
CCUACGGGGGGCAGCAGUAGGGAAUCUUCCACAAUGGGCGAAAGCCUGAUGGAGCAACGCCGCGUGGGUGAAGAAGGUCUUCUGAUCGUAAAACCCUGUUGUUAGAGAAGAAAGUGCGUGAGAGUAACUGUUCCCGUUUCGACGGUAUCUAACCAGAAAGCCACGGCUAACUACGUGCCAGCAGCCGCGGUAAUACGUAGGUGGCAAGCGUUAUCCGGAUUUGUUGGGCGUAAAGGGAACGCAGGCGGUCUUUUAAGUCUGAUGUGAAAGCCUUCGGCUUAACCGGAGUAGUGCAUUGGAAACUGGGAGACUGGAGUGCAGAAGAGGAGAGUGGAACUGCAUGUGUAGCGGUGAAAUGCGUAGAUAUAUGGAAGAAAACCAGUGGCGAAGGCGGCUCUCUGGGCUGUAACUGACGCUGAGGUUCGAAAGCGUGGGUAUCGAACAGGAUUAGAUACCCCUGUAGUC